AUGGGUGGCCUAUCCAUGGAGCACCCUUGGGCAUUCGCCUUCGGCCUACUAGGCAACGUAAUCUCUUUCUCGAGCCUCCUGGCCCCGAUACCAACAUUCUACCGGAUCUUCAAGAGCAAAUCCACGGAGGGGUUCCAGUCGGUGCCCUACGUCGUGGCCCUGUUCAGCGCGAUGCUGUGGAUCUUCUACGCACUGGUCAAGACCGGUGAGGGCCUCCUCAUCAGCAUCAACGCUGCCGGCUGCGUCAUCGAGACCGUCUACAUCGUCAUGUACCUUGUCUACGCCCCCAGGAAGGCCAAGAUUUUCACAGCCAAGAUCGUCGUCCUCCUCAACAUCGCUGGCUUCGGGCUCAUCUUCCUCCUCACCCUCUUCGCCUUCCAUGGCGAGACACGUGUCGUCUCGCUCGGCUGGAUCUGCGUCGGCUUCUCCGUCUGCGUCUUCGUUGCCCCACUCAGCAUCAUCGGACGAGUCAUCAAGACCAAGAGUGUGGAGUACAUGCCCUUCACGCUCUCCCUCACGCUCACCCUCAGCGCAAUCGUCUGGUUCCUCUACGGCCUGCUCAUCAAGGACAAAUACGUCGCGCUCCCAAACGUCCUUGGCUUCACCUUCGGGGUGAUCCAGAUGGUCCUCUACGUGUUCUACAUGAACAAGACGCCGGUGGCAAGCGAGGUCAAGGAGGGGAAAGAGGCAUGGAAGGCGCCCGCAGAGGACCACGUCGUCGUGAUCAACGUCGGCAAGGCCGACAAGAGCUCGUGCGCUGAGGUGCGCCCGGUCACCGAGAUGGCCAGCGCCGUGGACGUCCCCAGGAGAUGCGCUGCUGAGGCGGCGUCGCCGGGGCAGCAAGUGAUGGCGGUGGACUUUGCCCGUUCUGUCGAGGUGGUCUAG
Molecule: ribosomal RNA, 885 nt
Filed under: Triticum aestivum (bread wheat)
Lineage: Eukaryota; Viridiplantae; Streptophyta; Magnoliopsida; Poales; Poaceae
Description: partial small subunit ribosomal RNA
Source: RNAcentral